CAGGCAGGGAAGGGAGGGAGGAUGUGUACUCCAGGCACACCCUCAGUGGCUCAUCUCUUCUCACCAGGCCUGACCUUCCAACAUCACAUCAAAUUACACCCUCAUCAGUGGACUGAGCCAGUGUCACACCCAGUGUUGCCACCUGCAAGAGGCUUUCAGCUCAACACAAGCCAUCACAGCUGGCUCAAACUUACAAUUCUCCUGUCUCACUGUCCGAAGUAGCUGGGAUUACAGGUUAGGAAACUGAGGCACAGCAAGGUCAAAUGAUUUCCCAAAGCCAUCUGGUCAGUGGACUUGAGUGCUAAGUCGGGCAGCACAAUGCUCAUCCAUGGUCCAGUUACCCGAGAGGCUGAGGCUGCAAGAUCACUGGAGCCUACGGAUUCAAGAGCAGCCUGGAAAACUAGUGUGCCCCAUCUCCUCCCCCUAAAGACUCAACUCUUCUGUGGGUAGGGCUGUAGUGAGCGUACAGGAAGGCGUCUCUUUGACAUAUGGCCUUCUUUUCCUGUGGAUGCAAACCAGCAGCGGGAUUGCUGGAUCCUCUGGUGGUUUUAUUUCUACAUUUCUGAACACUGUUAUGUUGUUUUCUACAAUGAUGGCAUCAAUUUAUAUUCCCAACAGUGGAGUGCAGGGCACCUCCUUUCUCCAUCCUCACCCACACUGCUGCAAUAGCCUUCUUAGCAGGAUGAGAUGAUCAUCACAUUGUGCUGUUGAGUUACACCUCCAGGAUGAUUAGUGAUGUUGAGUCUGGCUUUGAACUCACUGUGUAGCUCAGGCUAGCCUUGAACUCAGAGAUCCUCCUGCCUGAGCCUCCUGAGUGCUGGGAUUACAGGUAUGUGCCACCAUGCCCGGUAAGUCCUUUUAACUUGAAGGUCAUAGACUGAACCUGCUCCCUUACUUUCAUCCAAGUUUAUUAAUAAAACUCCCAAAGUAGAUUGUUUUAGACCCCAGAUACACAUAACACACUCUCCCUACCUCCUUUGUCUCACUCUCCAGCCCCGGCUCUCACCGACAAAAAGGUCUGCAUAUACAAAUAGAGAAUAACUAUAUGAUCUUUCUUUGUUUUAAAGAGGAAAUAACAAUAAAACAGUUUCAAAACAGGCUAGUAGGAGAGUAACAAUAAUUAACACAUUGCAUAUUGUUACAUUGAUAAUAGUUGCUCAGAGUAUAAGAUACAGGCAUGAAAUAUUAUCCAAACAAUAUUGGCACAAACUUUUCAAUGAACAAACUGUAUAACUAUCUUAACUAUCUUGUGUGUAUACAUAUAUUUUUUCCUUCUCCCUUCUUUCCUUUCUCUUUUCUCCCAUCACAGUUAGCUAUAUGAUCUCAAACAGUCUCCAAAGACAGUUGUCUCUGAAGACAGCCUGUUUGUCUGUGUGAUUCUAUUAAUUCUGAGCUCUUUCCUAUCAGGUAUCAUCACAGAAGUAUCUUAUCUCUCUGUCCCCCAACAUGACAGUUGUCCCAGUGAGUUCCCUUCUUCUGAUGUGGGUUUGUAAACAAUAUAGGAAUUCAAGCAGCCAAAUUAAUAAAUUUGGAAUUUUAUUAGCUGAGCCCAGUGACCACCCCUGGACCCCUGUUUCAGAGUCCAAGCCAGUGGCACUGAACUGGAAAGUUACAGAGCUUUUAAAACAGAAAACUGAAGAGCAAGACAUCCUGUUGGAAACACUGUAGCUUGAAUCUUACAUUACUUUUGGUUGACUGUAUCCUGCUUCUUUGUUGAGCAGGUUAAUUUUUCUUUCUUGGGGGUGCAGCUCAUUCUGCUUUUCUCAUGGAACUCAUACCCUGAGUACUCUUCUGGGUCAAAUACAGGGCAUGAGUCAAACACAGGGCACAAGAUGGCAUCAGUUAUGCCAAACUACAACAGUUCAGAGCUAACAGCCCCCUGGGCGCCCCAGAAUCACGGCAUCCGUGUCUCACAGUGGCCAAGUCCUGGUAAAUUUUGAUCUGUUUUCUCUGAAAUGUAUUUCUAAGAAGUAUAAUCCCACUUGGAGGUAUACAUGUGCAACAGAAUGUGUUUACUAAAAAAGAUGUUCUGGGAUUCAUGCUGUAGCCGGGGACUUCUGGCGCUGCUGCUUUGGGCCCCUCCAAAGGAGCCUCGCCUGAGCGCGCAGCCAUGGUGCGCCGGGGCUGGGGCACUCGAGGGGCCCCGGGGAAGAAUGCCGCUUGCAGGAGAAAGCCUGGCUCUGUGAGAGGGCGGGCUGCGCGGGUAGGAGGGUCGCCUGGCAGGCCAGGGUGUGGGGUGUGGCUGGCUGCGCUGGGGACCCAGGAGUGUUUGGGGUUCACGGCGAGGGUGGCUCCUGCGGGAAGGCCAGGGCUGCUUCCCUGCCUCCUUCUCUAGGCGAGGCAGAUGUGAGCUAACGAGUCCUGAGCGCAGGACAGCUCUGCAAUACGGGCCCAGCAGCGAGAGGAAGUGCUGAACAUAAAGUGGUACGCGGCUCAGUGCGCUUCGCUCCAGCCCCGGACACAGGCUCUGCUGUCUGCAGCGGGGCGCGCCCUGCAAUCUGGAGGGGACCGAGGCGCCCCCCGCCCCCCGCAGAGGUGCCCAGGGACAACUACAGUCCCUGCCUCGCCAGGACAGCAGAUGGACCUGGGAUGGCCAAGGACCUGCACGGGUUUCUCCAGGGCAGAACGAGUUCCCCGCCGUGCCCUAGUCAUGGGCAGCGCGCUCAGGCCGGAGGCCAGCCCCUUUGACUCCAUACCUGACCAGGGCUUUCUCUAAACUCUCUGUGUCUGGGAAAUAAAUGCUGUUCUUUGCUCUAUAAAUAAAAUAAAAUAACAUAUAAUAAAAUAAAAUAAAAUAAAAUAAAAUAAAAUAAAAUAAAAUAAAGAAGAUGUUCUGGAAUAUUUGCAUCACUUUCUAUUAUUGGUGCCCCGAAACUGGAAAUGAUCCAAAUGCUCAAGAGUAGAACAGGUGAAUUAAAUGUGGGAAUGAAAUACUAUGCAGUAAUUAAUUAUAAGAAGAAUGACUUUCACAAGCAUAAUGGCAUAAUGUUGAUUGGAAAUAUCUGGUUGCAAAAUGUAUAUCUUCUAUGAUUCCAUUACAGAAAGUUGGAAAAAUAGGCAAAACUAGCGCACAGGUUUGGA
Long non-coding RNA from Cavia porcellus (domestic guinea pig), 3081 nucleotides. RefSeq lists it as uncharacterized. The record is from RefSeq and is a predicted model, not a curated record. Lineage: Eukaryota; Metazoa; Chordata; Mammalia; Rodentia; Caviidae. The transcript has 3 exons.